This 82-nucleotide transfer RNA is filed under the name archaeon. RNAcentral describes it as "tRNA-Ser". It matches the Rfam family "tRNA". Rfam says of the family: Transfer RNA (tRNA) molecules are approximately 80 nucleotides in length. The record is from RNAcentral.
GGCUGUUUGUCCGAGUGGUUAAGGAGGCGGACUUGAAAUCCGCUGGGACAUUCCCGCGUAGGUUCAAAUCCUGCAGCAGUCG